CCUACGGGAGGCAGCAGUGAGGAAUAUUGGUCAAUGGGCGGAAGCCUGAACCAGCCAAGUAGCGUGCAGGAUGACGGCCCUACGGGUUGUAAACUGCUUUUAUACGGGAAUAACGCGCCUUACGUGUAGGGCUUUGCAUGUACCGUAUGAAUAAGGACCGGCUAAUUCCGUGCCCGCAGCCGCGGUACUACGGAGGGUCCGGGCGUUAGCCGGAUUUAUUGGGUUUACAGGGAGCGUAGGCCGCAUGUCAAGCGUGCUGUGAAAUGUCCGGGCUCAACCCGGGACUUGCAGCGCGAACUGGCGUGCUUGAGUCCGCGGAAAGCAGGCGGAAUUCGUCGUGUAGCGGUGAAAUGCUUAGAUAUGACGAAGAACCCCGAGUGCGAAGGCAGCUUGCUGCAGCGGAACUGACGCUGAUGCUCGAAAGCGCGGGUAUCGAACAGGAUUAGAUACCCUAGUAGUC
RNAcentral lists this ribosomal RNA (460 nucleotides) under uncultured bacterium. Its description in RNAcentral is "partial 16S ribosomal RNA". It matches the Rfam family "Bacterial small subunit ribosomal RNA", at positions 338 to 795 of the family's 1533-position model. The record is from RNAcentral.